RNAcentral lists this ribosomal RNA (253 nucleotides) under uncultured bacterium. RNAcentral's name for it is "partial 16S ribosomal RNA". It matches the Rfam family "Bacterial small subunit ribosomal RNA", at positions 524 to 776 of the family's 1533-position model. The record is from RNAcentral.
GACAGAGGUGCCAAGCGUUAGGCGGAAUCACUGGGCUUAAAGCGUGUGUAGGCGGAUCGUUAAGUCCCUUGUGAAAUCCCACGGCUCAACCGUGGAACUGCUGGGUAUACUGGCGAUCUUGAGCCACCUAGGGGCGAGCGGAACAAACGGUGGAGCGGUGAAAUGCGUAGAUAUCGUUUGGAACGCCAACGGUGAAAACAGCUCGCUGGGGGUGUGCUGACGCUGAGACACGAAAGCCAGGGGAGCGAACGGG